UUGGUCAAUAUAAUACAUCAAAUAUUACAAAUACAUUAUUUAGUUAAAUAAAUAACCGAAAACCGAAAAUUCAAAUCCGCGCUGGCGCGCGGAUCAGGGUCUAGUAUUAUGUUAAAAUAUAAAAAUUGCAUUCCAACUCUUUUCCUAUCCAAAGUUAUGUAUUAACAUUUAUAUGUAAACGAAAACGUGUACCAUCUUUGCAUUCGAACUCUUUUCCCAAUCCAAAGUUAUGGAUUCACAUUUACAUAGCCUUGACAAAUUAUUAGCUUUAGAAAAAUGAUAUAAACUUAACUUUAUUUUAAAACUUUCAGUUAUCAUACACGUAUUACUUAGUACAUUUCAAAAUAUUUAGUAUAGAUAUUGUAUCAAUUUUUUUUUUUAAUUAAUAUUGUAUCAAAUUCAAAGAAAACAGAUUUUUUAAACUCUUGGC
This 430-nucleotide long non-coding RNA is filed under the name Brassica napus (rape). RNAcentral describes it as "long non-coding RNA (BNAP_LNC024441)". The record is from RNAcentral. Lineage: Eukaryota; Viridiplantae; Streptophyta; Magnoliopsida; Brassicales; Brassicaceae.